Molecule: ribosomal RNA, 640 nt
Filed under: Methanomassiliicoccales archaeon
Lineage: Archaea; Methanobacteriati; Thermoplasmatota; Thermoplasmata; Methanomassiliicoccales
Description: bacterial SSU rRNA
Rfam family: Archaeal small subunit ribosomal RNA
Source: RNAcentral
GCCCUUAGGUGGAGGAUAAUCUCGGGAAAUUGAGGAUAAUACUCCAUAGAUCAUGAAAUCUGGAAUGAUUCAUGGUUCAAAGUUCAGGCGCCUAAGGAUCGGUCUGCGGCCUAUCAGGUAGUAGUGGGUGUAACGUACCUACUAGCCUAUGACGGGUAUGGGCCUUGAGAGAGGGAGCCCAGAGUUGGAUUCUGAGACACGAAUCCAGGCCCUACGGGGCGCAGCAGUCGCGAAAACUUCACAAUGGGGGCAACCCCGAUGAGGGAAUUCCUAGUGCUAGCACUUUUGUGUUAGCUUUUCUUUAGCGUAGAUAACUAGAGGAAUAAGGGCUGGGUAAGACGGGUGCCAGCCGCCGCGGUAAUACCUGCAGCCCAAGUGGUGGUCGAUUUUAUUGAGUCUAAAACGUUCGUAGCCGGUUUAAUAAAUCCUUGGGUAAAUCGGGAAGCUUAACUUUCCGAAUUCCGAGGAGACUGUUAAACUUGGGACCGGGAGAGGCUAGAGGUACUUCUGGGGUAGGGGUAAAAUCCUGUAAUCCUAGAAGGACCACCGGUGGCGAAGGCGUCUAGCUAGAACGGAUCCGACGGUGAGGGACGAAGCCCUGGGUCGCAAACGGGAUUAGAUACCCCGGUAGUCCAGGGUG